UCCUCGUUAGUAUAGUGGUGAGUAUCCCCGCCUGUCACGCGGGAGACCGGGGUUCGAUUCCCCCGACGGGGAG
Molecule: transfer RNA, 73 nt
Filed under: Xenopus tropicalis (tropical clawed frog)
Lineage: Eukaryota; Metazoa; Chordata; Amphibia; Anura; Pipidae
Description: tRNA-Asp (GTC) (tRNA-Asp-GTC-7-1)
Rfam family: tRNA
About the family: Transfer RNA (tRNA) molecules are approximately 80 nucleotides in length.
Source: RNAcentral